GAUGGAAAAGGAACAAUUAAAUUUAAUGAUAGCACAGAAAAAGAGUUGACACGCUAGGGGAGAAAUUGAUUAUAGUUAAUGAUGGAUGUCCAAUCCACAAAUCAACACACUGCUCGAGGAAAUCUCAAGGGUUUAUCUCUUGAUUUCUACUAGACAGAUGUCUAGAAGAUCCAAAGUCAGACGCAAGAGAAAACCACAUAUUGAUUUAUCUGAUCUUCAGGAAUACCAAGAGAUUGGAUCCUGAGGAUAUCUGAUUCAGAUGACUUCUAACUGGUAGAAAUAUCAGAGUCAGAUCCAGACA
RNAcentral lists this long non-coding RNA (301 nucleotides) under Lathyrus oleraceus (garden pea). RNAcentral's name for it is "Pisum sativum (pea) long non-coding RNA (PSAT_LNC007692)". Lineage: Eukaryota; Viridiplantae; Streptophyta; Magnoliopsida; Fabales; Fabaceae. The record is from RNAcentral.